AGGUAUUGUGUUGCAGCCAAGGAUGACUUGCCGGUAAUAUACAUAUAUAUGAGAAGCUAAAUAAAAAUGUGUCUAAAUUUCCACAAUGUUUUUUCUCCUAUAUUUUGAUCCAUUGCACUUCCACAAUUGGAUUUUGCAUGAAACUAUGCAUCGGCAAGUUGUCUUUGGCUACAUCUCUAUCUCC
This 184-nucleotide microRNA precursor is filed under the name Morus notabilis. Lineage: Eukaryota; Viridiplantae; Streptophyta; Magnoliopsida; Rosales; Moraceae. The record is from RNAcentral.